GGGACUGUAGCUCAGUUGGUUAGAGCACUGCUCUGAUAAGGCAGGGGUCAAAAGUUCAAAUCUUUUCAGUCCCACCA
This 77-nucleotide transfer RNA is filed under the name Chitinispirillales bacterium. RNAcentral describes it as "tRNA-Ile". It matches the Rfam family "tRNA". From Rfam's summary of the family: Transfer RNA (tRNA) molecules are approximately 80 nucleotides in length. Their secondary structure includes four short double-helical elements and three loops (D, anti-codon, and T loops). Further hydrogen bonds mediate the characteristic L-shaped molecular structure. tRNAs have two regions of fundamental functional importance: the anti-codon, which is responsible for specific mRNA codon recognition, and the 3' end, to which the tRNAs corresponding amino acid is attached (by aminoacyl-tRNA synthetases). tRNAs cope with the degeneracy of the genetic code in two manners: having more than one tRNA (with a specific anti-codon) for a particular amino acid; and 'wobble' base-pairing, i.e. permitting non-standard base-pairing at the 3rd anti-codon position. Lineage: Bacteria; Pseudomonadati; Fibrobacterota; Chitinispirillia; Chitinispirillales. The record is from RNAcentral.